RNAcentral lists this ribosomal RNA (460 nucleotides) under uncultured bacterium. RNAcentral describes it as "partial 16S ribosomal RNA". It matches the Rfam family "Bacterial small subunit ribosomal RNA", at positions 338 to 795 of the family's 1533-position model. The record is from RNAcentral.
CCUACGGGAGGCAGCAGUGAGGAAUAUUGGUCAAUGGACGAGAGUCUGAACCAGCCAAGUAGCGUGAAGGAUGACUGCCCUAUGGGUUGUAAACUUCUUUUAUAUGGGAAUAAAACGUUCCACGUGUGGGAUUUUGUAUGUACCAUAUGAAUAAGGAUCGGCUAACUCCGUGCCAGCAGCCGCGGUAAUACGGAGGUUCCGAGCGUUAUCCGGAUUUAUUGGGUUUAAAGGGAGCGUAGGUGGAUUGUUAAGUCAGUUGUGAAAGUUUGCGGCUCAACCGUAAAAUUGCAGUUGAAACUGGCAGUCUUGAGUACAGGAGAGGUGGGCGGAAUUCGUGGUGUAGCGGUGAAAUGCUUAGAUAUCACGAAGAACUCCGAUUGCGAAGGCAGUUCACUGGACUGCAACUGACACUGAGGCUCGAAAGUGUGGGUAUCAAACAGGAUUAGAUACCCUGGUAGUC